UACGUAGGGCGCAAGCGUUGUCCGGAAUUAUUGGGCGUAAAGAGCUCGUAGGCGGCUUGUCACGUCGAUUGUGAAAGCCCGAGGCUUAACCUCGGGUCUGCAGUCGAUACGGGCUAGCUAGAGUGUGGUAGGGGAGAUCGGAAUUCCUGGUGUAGCGGUGAAAUGCGCAGAUAUCUGGAGGAACACCGGUGGCGAAGGCGGCAUCCUGGACCGGUAUUGACGCUGAGGCGCGAAAGCCAGGGGAGCAAACGGG
RNAcentral lists this ribosomal RNA (253 nucleotides) under uncultured bacterium. Its description in RNAcentral is "partial 16S ribosomal RNA". It matches the Rfam family "Bacterial small subunit ribosomal RNA", at positions 524 to 776 of the family's 1533-position model. The record is from RNAcentral.